GGUGGGCUGGCCGGGGUCUCCUACGACCCCUGCUACCACCAGGCCUGCGACAGCCGUACGCCGGUCGCCGACGGCGCCGACGCCGCCAUCUACCA
Molecule: transfer RNA, 95 nt
Filed under: Micromonospora sediminimaris
Lineage: Bacteria; Bacillati; Actinomycetota; Actinomycetes; Micromonosporales; Micromonosporaceae
Description: tRNA-Gly
Source: RNAcentral